Non-coding RNA from Leptonychotes weddellii (Weddell seal), 3450 nucleotides. Lineage: Eukaryota; Metazoa; Chordata; Mammalia; Carnivora; Phocidae. The record is from RefSeq and is a predicted model, not a curated record.
AUCCAGUUGGUGCGGUCCAUGGCGAGCACAUCAUGGCGAUUGAAGGUGGAGAAAGAACCUGUGGAGUACAUGAACUUAUUUGUAUUAGAAAAGUCUCUCCAGAGGCAGUUGGAUUUUUGUCAGCUGUUGGGGUGUUUAUUAUCUUGAUGCUGCUCCUUUUUCUCUAUAUUAAUAAGAAGUUCUGUUUUGAAAAUGUUGGCGGGUUUCCAGAUCUUGGUUCAGGAUACAGUACAAGGAAGAACUCACAAGAUAAAAUUUAUAAUUCCUACAUGGAUAAAGAUGAGCAUGGUUCAUCCUCUGAAAGUGAAGAUGAAGCACUGGGUAAAUAUCACGAGGCCUUGUGCAGAACCCACAAUUCCAGACUACCAUUGGCAGAUUCGAGACAAAAGAACUAUGCUUGGGAAACGAGACAAAAAUACAGCCCUCUGUCUGCGGAGUAUGAUGGCUACAGUAGCGAAGCAUCGAUAGAUGAAGGAAACUGCAUUCAGAGAAUGAGAAGAACACCCCCACUGGAUGAAUUGCAGCCACCACCAUAUCAGGAUGACAGUGGUUCUCCCCAUCUCUCAUGUACGCCCUCAGAAAUUGGGGACAGUAAAUGUGAAUUUUCCCACUGCAGCAACAGUCCAAGAUGCUCAUAUAACAAGUGCCCAAGUGAAGGAAGCAUAGGUCGUGAAAUAGAAAGUUUUCCUAAUAAAGGAUAUGAAGAAGAUGUUCCAAGCGACAGCACCGCAGUCCUGAGCCCGGAAGAUAUGUCAGCUCAAGGAUCAUCGUCACAGCUUCCUAAACCUUUUGAUCCUGAGCCAGAAGCUAAAUACGGCACACUGGAUGUGACUUUUGACUAUGACUCCCAAGAACAGAAGCUUCUGGUAACAGUGACGGCUGUCACAGAUAUCCCAACACAUAACAGGACAGGUGGCAACUCAUGGCAAGUACACCUUGUUCUUCUACCUAUAAAGAAACAGAGAGCAAAAACCAGCAUCCAGAGAGGACCAUGCCCUGUCUUCACAGAAACAUUCAAAUUUAAUCACGUUGAAUCUGAGAUGAUUGGAAAUUAUGCAGUUCGGUUUAGACUAUAUGGUGUACAUCGCAUGAAAAAAGAAAAGAUUGUGGGGGAAAAGAUUUUUUAUUUAACAAAAUUGAAUCUUCAAGGGAAAAUGUCAUUACCUGUGAUAUUGGAGCCUUCUUACAAUCAUUCUGGCUGUGACUCCCAAAUGAGUGUGUCAGAAAUGUCCUGUAGUGAAAGUACAUCCUCAUGUCAGUCUCUUGAACAUGGCUCGGUUCCAGAAAUUCUCAUUGGCCUGCUUUAUAAUGCCACAACUGGAAGACUAUCAGCAGAAGUGAUAAAAGGCAGCCACUUCAAAAACUUGGCAGCAAACAGACCACCCAAUGGACUGUUCUGUUGUCUAAAACACUUGAUAGGUGGACAGGUUUAUAUAAUCCGAGAUACGUAUGUUAAAUUAACUCUCCUGAAUUCCAUGGGUCAAGAGAUGUCCAAAUGCAAGACAUCCAUCCGCAGAGGGCAGCCUAAUCCAGUAUACAAGGAAACUUUUGUUUUUCAAGUGGCCCUAUUUCAACUUUCUGAUGUGACACUCAUACUGUCUGUGUAUAACAAACGCAGCAUGAAAAGAAAAGAGAUGAUAGGCUGGAUUUCUUUAGGUCUGAACAGCUCUGGAGAAGAGGAGCUCAAUCACUGGACUGAAAUGAAAGAGUCGAAAGGACAGCAAGUGUGUAGAUGGCAUGCGUUACUAGAGUCAUGAUGAAUAGGGCAACCAAGCAAUUACAAUCCAAGGCAGCAUUAUCUCUGAUUGCAGCAUCACUGUUUUUACCUAGUCACCAUUAGAAGAGCUGUUCUUUGAAGCAUCAUCCUCAACAUUCUACCAGAAUGCGUUAAGGUCUGCGGAAAGAGCGUCUAAUACUGACACAAAUGAAGAAAAGAUGUGUCUCUGGUAGAGCUUGUUUGGGAAAUGAGACACUUGCAUCAUCAUUGUUAACAGUCCUCCAGAGCUUUAAGAACAUACUUUUGGUUUGAAGUUAAGUUUACUUUGGCAAAAGAGCCAGUAAUUUCAUGGAAAAAAAAAAAUCAAAACUAUAAGUGAUUUUUUUAAAUCAGAAUUUUUAGUUGCAACACUGUUUUAGGAUCACCCUACAUGUUAACCAGGAAACACGUAUUUUGACUGGCCCAUCCCUGGUGUUGGCAAUGUUCUUUAAGCUGAAAAAGUAGGUCUCCAGCUCUAUCAUGAGGCAUAUCUAAUGGUGAAGGAUUUCAAUUACAUAGAAAAUUGUCUUAUUUCAGAAAUUUUCCCUUUGUGCACUUAGUUUCAUUGUGCCUCAUUCUUCUCAAUAGCACUCAAUCUCAAGUGCAAGCACGUAUUCAUUUUCAUAAAGGAAUUUUUCUAUAUGUUAUUUAGAAAAGCCCAACAACUCAUUUCUUCAUUUGCCUCUGCUUUUGCCUGAUCCAAAGAGACCCAGUCACUGGACUGGUCCUUUGCAAGAGUCUCUUAGACAGGUUGUACUGUAGAACUACGUAACUUUCUGUUGAAAGCACUUCCUGUAUUCUUGUAUUCCAAUGUAGGAAGCUAAUAGAGCAGGACUUUACUUUCAAAUCCUUUCAACAACUGACUCUUUAAAAUUGUAGUAAUGUGAAGAUACGUUUUUUUUACAAACUAAAAAAAAAAAUAGAGUAGAUAAGCUGUUGAAAAUUGAAAACCGUUCAAGUUAAAGAAAAUGUUAAUUGUCUGCUCUGAGAAUGGAAUGACCAACACUGCAUAAAGCAGGGAUAGUUCCAAUAAGAAACUGUUCUCUCUCUAAAUCUUCUUCAGUCUUACUUCGAUUUGUACUUGUGAUCUAAAGACUCUCCAGUUCUCAGUUUGAAUCAGAACAUCAUGUUAAAAACAGUUCUGAGAUUCCUUAUGAAAUUUCUAGUGACCUGUGACUAGAUUUUAUGGAACUUACAGAUACGUUCUUCAACGUGACGUCAUUCUGUGCCUUUCAUUUGCAAGAAAAACAGUUAGGACAACAUUGUAUUCAUCAGUAAUCCCAUCCACCUAAUGGAAUGGCAGAACUAGAAAAAAAGAAGGAAAAAUGAGAGCUUGGGAAAGAGAAACACAAGACAAAGAAGAUCAGAGAUUUUUUUUCCCUCAGGAUACAAAUGGUACUUCUGUGUAAUAUUGUGUAGAUGACUUUUGAUUUCCAGAGACUUGGAAACUAAUUUACUCUACAAAUUUAACCUAUACUUAUAUUCUGAAAAUAUGUUAAUCAAUUGGUUCUGCUCCUUAUCUACUUUUGGGAAUCCAAGAUGUUUUAAUUGUAUAUGAUCGCCUUUCUAUGAAGUAGAUAUCCUGUAUCCUUUAGCAGGUAUCUUGCCCAUAUCAGUGCUGAGAGAAAUGACCCUUUCUUCCUCUGUGCUCUCAUUGUAAUUUAUUUGUUUCUUACAUACCCUUUAUUAAGGUA